RNAcentral lists this ribosomal RNA (429 nucleotides) under Pseudomonadota bacterium. RNAcentral's name for it is "Proteobacteria bacterium partial 16S ribosomal RNA". It matches the Rfam family "Bacterial small subunit ribosomal RNA", at positions 355 to 776 of the family's 1533-position model. The record is from RNAcentral. Lineage: Bacteria; Pseudomonadati; Pseudomonadota.
UGGGGAAUAUUGGACAAUGGGCGAAAGCCUGAUCCAGCCAUGCCGCGUGUGUGAAGAAGGUCUUCGGAUUGUAAAGCACUUUAAGUUGGGAGUAAGGGCAGUAAGCGAAUACCUUGCUGUUUUGACGUUACCGACAGAAUAAGCACCGGCUAACUCUGUGCCAGCAGCCGCGGUAAUACAGAAGGUGCAAGCGUUAAUCGGAAUUACUGGGCGUAAAGCGCGCGUAGGUGGUUCGGUAAGUUGAAUGUGAAAGCCACGGGCUCAACCUGAGAACUGCAUGCAAGACUGGCGUGCUAGAGUAGGGCGGAGGAUGGUGGGAUUUACUGUGUAGCGGUGAAGUGCGUAGAUAUAGGAAGGAACACCAGAGGCGAAGGCGACCACCUGUGCUCAUACUGACACUGAAGUGAGAAAGCAUGGGGAGCAAACAGG